UACAGAGGGUGCGAGCGUUAAUCGGAAUUACUGGGCGUAAAGCGCGCGUAGGCGGUUUUGUAAGUCGGGUGUGAAAUCCCCAAGCUUAACUUGGGAACUGCAUUCGAGACUGCAUAGCUAGAGUAUGGGAGAGGGAAGUGGAAUUUCAGGUGUAGCGGUGAAAUGCGCAGAUAUCAGGAGGAGCGCCGGUGGCGAAGGCGGUUCUCUGGGCAUGACCUGACGCUGAGGAGCGAAAGUGUGGGGAGCGAACAGG
Molecule: ribosomal RNA, 253 nt
Filed under: uncultured bacterium
Lineage: Bacteria
Description: partial 16S ribosomal RNA
Rfam family: Bacterial small subunit ribosomal RNA
Source: RNAcentral